Molecule: long non-coding RNA, 1609 nt
Organism: Capsicum annuum
Lineage: Eukaryota; Viridiplantae; Streptophyta; Magnoliopsida; Solanales; Solanaceae
Exons: 3
Source: RefSeq, a predicted model, not a curated record
AUAAAUAACUAUCUAUGUGCGUACUUGUCCACCACUAACAUGUUAAAGGACACUUCUUUCUCAGCCACAUAAAUCAAUAUCUAUUCAUGUGUCCAUUUAUCCACCACAAACACAUUUAAAAGACAAUUCUAGAAAUAAUGUUUCUAGAAUUAACAUUUCAUAAAGUGACUCAAAUAAAUAAGUAAGAGGCUUUUCAUUGUCCUUCCAGAUAUCUCUUCUAUCAAUCAUCAAAUCAUCGGAAUCAAAUUGGAGUUCAAUCUCAAGGAUACCAUCAUAAGUGCAACUACUUUGCUAAUGGGUAUGUGAAUGUUUAUCUAGGUGUUUGAUCGUGAAUGUCAAGACACAGAUCGCAGAAACAAAAAUGCAUCUCCUAUUGUAGAAUUUAUAAAGGGAAAAGUCAUCAUUUCCACCUCAAACUAUACCUGAAAAGUCUAAGUCACACCUAAACUAUCAUAGUGUCCAAUUACACACCUAAACUAUAAAAAAGUGAAACUAUUACCUUCUUAGAAGGUGAAAUGGCAGAGAAGGUGUAUUCACCUUCCUAAGCUGUGUGAGAGGAAGGAAAAAAUCUUAAAAUGGCAGCUUCCAUACAUGUGUCACUAUUUCAUUUGUUAUUAUAUCAUUAAGUACUCCUAAUAUUCUUCUUAAUAUAUACAAUUAGAUUAAUUAUUUUUCAAUUGAAAAAAUAUUAAUAAAAUUAAUUUUUUUUAUUUUUUCAAUUGAAAAAAUAUUAAUAAAAUUAAAUUUUAUUUAUUUAUUUUAAUAUGUGGGUCCCGCCUUCUUCAAUUUCUUCUUCACCAAAAUCAUCAUUAAAACACCACCAUUCACACCAUCAUCAUCAAACUCAUAUCUUCACCACAAUAAUUUUAAGAAUCCACCAUAAAUUUUAUUAUUAAAAUCACAAUAUAACCGCUAGUAUCAUAAAAAUCACAAAUCACCACCAUAAAAUUUACAUUUUGGGCAUGCUUACUGAUUGUGACGGUGAAAUAUGAACCAAUAAAAUUACGUACAUUUUGGGACCUUUUAGUUGGUGCCUUCUAACUAAUCUGCUUUACCUCUUUUAUCUUUUUCUCAUAAUUAGACACUUUAUUAAAACUCUUCCUUCCAGAAGUCAUGCAUACAAACAAAUCGUGAAGAUUUGUGUUCAAACCUUUAAUAAAUAAGUGUACCCUCUUCUUCUCAGUGCCCAGAAUUUGGGUAGCAUAGACAGAUAGGGAAUUAAACUGACUCAUAGAAUCCAAUUGACACCCUCCCAUACUUAUGAUCCAGAAACUCAUCUUUCUGUGGUUACGAAGAGUUUGAGGCACAUACUUCUCUAAAUAGAGGGCAUGAAACUGAACCUAUUUACUUCAUUGUGUGAUGGUGGUUAUAGCGAUGGUGAUGGUGUUGGACGACGAUGGUGACAACUGGGGAAGAAAUUAGGAAAUGGAGAAAACUGAGAGAAAAGUGAGUAAAUGAAGUCAUUCAAAGAAAUAAUGGUGAUUUUUAUUAUGAUAUUGUGAUUUCAAUGAAAAUUUUAGUAAUGGACGUUGAAUUUUAUAGUGGUUGUUUGUGAUACUAAUGGUUGUAUUGUGAUUCCGAUAAUAAAAUUUAUGGUGGAUUCUUAAAA